This 370-nucleotide ribosomal RNA is filed under the name uncultured bacterium. RNAcentral describes it as "bacterial SSU rRNA". It matches the Rfam family "Bacterial small subunit ribosomal RNA", at positions 527 to 896 of the family's 1533-position model. The record is from RNAcentral.
AGAGGGUGCGAGCGUUAAUCGGAAUUACUGGGCGUAAAGCGUGCGUAGACGGUUAUUUAAGUCGGAUGUGAAAGCCCCGGGCUCAACCUGGGAAUUGCAUUCGAGACUGAAUAGCUAGGGUGCGGUAGAGGGAAGCGGAAUUUCCGGUGUAGCGGUGAAAUGCGUAGAUAUCGGAAGGAACAUCAGUGGCGAAAGCGGCUUCCUGGACCAGCACCGACGUUCAGGCACGAAAGCGUGGGGAGCAAACAGGAUUAGAUACCCUGGUAGUCCACGCCAUAAACGAUGAGGACUAGACGUUGGAGGGGUAAGCCUUUCAGUGUCGUAGCUAACGCGCUAAGUCCUCCGCCUGGGGAGUACGGCCGCAAGGUUA